AGUGAACGCUGGCGGUAGGCCUAACACAUGCAAGUCGAACGGCAGCACAGUAAGAGCUUGCUCUUACGGGUGGCGAGUGGCGGACGGGUGAGGAAUACAUCGGAAUCUACUUUUUCGUGGGGGAUAACGUAGGGAAACUUACGCUAAUACCGCAUACGACCUACGGGUGAAAGCAGGGGAUCUUCGGACCUUGCGCGAUUGAAUGAGCCGAUGUCGGAUUAGCUAGUUGGCGGGGUAAAGGCCCACCAAGGCGACGAUCCGUAGCUGGUCUGAGAGGAUGAUCAGCCACCCUGGAACUGAGACACGGUCCAGACUCCUACGGGAGGCAGCAGUGGGGAAUAUUGGACAAUGGGCGCAAGCCUGAUCCAGCCAUACCGCGUGGGUGAAGAAGACCUUCGGGUUGUAAAGCCCUUUUGUUGGGAAAGAAAAGCAGCAGGUUAAUACCCCGCUGUUCUGACGGUACCCAAAGAAUAAGCACCGGCUAACUUCGUG
Molecule: ribosomal RNA, 492 nt
Filed under: uncultured bacterium
Lineage: Bacteria
Description: partial 16S ribosomal RNA
Rfam family: Bacterial small subunit ribosomal RNA
Source: RNAcentral